AAGAAAGUAAAUAAGGGCGCAUGGCGGAUGCCUUGGCUCUCGGAGGCGAUGAAGGACGUGAUAAGCUGCGAUAAGCUUCGG
RNAcentral lists this ribosomal RNA (81 nucleotides) under Bacteroides fragilis. RNAcentral describes it as "partial 23S ribosomal RNA". It matches the Rfam family "Bacterial large subunit ribosomal RNA", at positions 1 to 81 of the family's 2925-position model. Lineage: Bacteria; Pseudomonadati; Bacteroidota; Bacteroidia; Bacteroidales; Bacteroidaceae. The record is from RNAcentral. RNAcentral also lists the same sequence under 1 other name.